CAGCACCUCAAGUGGUCAGGAUGAUUAUUGGGCCUAAAGCAUCCGUAGCCGGCGCUGUAAGUUUUCGGUUAAAUCUGUACGCUCAACGUACAGGCUGCCGGGAAUACUGCAGCGCUAGGGAGUGGGAGAGGUAAACGGUACUCGGUAGGAAGGGGUAAAAUCCUUUGAUCUAUUGAUGACCGCCUGUGGCGAAGGCGGUCUACCAGAACACGUCCGACGGUGAGGGAUGAAAGCUGGGGGAGCAAACCGGAUUAGAUACCCGAGUAGUCC
This 270-nucleotide ribosomal RNA is filed under the name uncultured archaeon. RNAcentral describes it as "partial 16S ribosomal RNA". It matches the Rfam family "Archaeal small subunit ribosomal RNA", at positions 477 to 747 of the family's 1478-position model. The record is from RNAcentral.